Molecule: RNase P RNA, 406 nt
Filed under: Candidatus Fermentithermobacillaceae bacterium
Lineage: Bacteria; Bacillati; Bacillota; Candidatus Fermentithermobacillia; Candidatus Fermentithermobacillales; Candidatus Fermentithermobacillaceae
Description: RNase P RNA component class A
Rfam family: Bacterial RNase P class A
About the family: Ribonuclease P (RNase P) is a ubiquitous endoribonuclease, found in archaea, bacteria and eukarya as well as chloroplasts and mitochondria. Its best characterised activity is the generation of mature 5'-ends of tRNAs by cleaving the 5'-leader elements of precursor-tRNAs.
Source: RNAcentral
CAAGUAGGUCAGGUGGUCGCGGGCGCACUUUUCGGUGUGCCUGAGGAAAGUCCGGGCUCCACAGGGCAGGGUGCUGGGUAACGCCCAGCGAGGGUGACCUCAGGGAAAGUGCCACAGAAACAUACCGCCUCGCGCGGAUUUUAUCUGCGCCCAAGGCAUGCCCAGCCUGCGGCGCAGAUGGAGAGUCGGUUCGGGCGCGGGGUAAGGGUGAAAAGGUGGUGUAAGAGACCACCGGCAGCCGGGUGACCGGCUGGCCAGGCAAACCCCACCCGGAGCAAGACCAAAUAGGGGGGCAAUGACGCUGCCCGCCGAGCCCCCGGGUAUGGUCGCUAGAGAGGGAGGGUAACCUUCCUCCAAGAUGGAUGACCACCCUCGACAGAACCCGGCUUAUAGACCUGCUUGCCAU